CUACGGGGUGCUGCAGUGGGGAAUAUUGGACAAUGGGGGAAACCCUGAUCCAGCAAUGCCGCGUGUGUGAAGAAGGCCUGCGGGUUGUAAAGCACUUUCGGUUGGGAGGACUGCUUCUAGCACUAAUAUUGUUGGAAGUUGACGUUACCUUCAGAAGAAGCACCGGCUAACUCCGUGCCAGCAGCCGCGGUAAUACGGAGGGUGCAAGGCGUAAUCGGAAUUACUGGGCGUAAAGCGCGCGUAGGCGGCUAGAUCAGUCGGGUGUGAAAGCCCCGGGCUUAACCUGGGAACUGCAUCCGAUACUGUCUAGCUUGAGUACAGGAGAGGAGAGUGGAAUUCCACAUGUAGCGGUGAAAUGCGUAGAUAUGUGGAGGAACACCAAUGGCGAAGGCAGCUCUCUGGCCUGAUACUGACGCUGAGGUGCGAAAGCGUGGGGAGCAAACAGGAUUAGAUACCCCGGUAGUC
Molecule: ribosomal RNA, 465 nt
Filed under: uncultured bacterium
Lineage: Bacteria
Description: partial 16S ribosomal RNA
Rfam family: Bacterial small subunit ribosomal RNA
Source: RNAcentral